AACGAACGCUGGCGGCAUGCCUAACACAUGCAAGUCGAACGAGACCUUCGGGUCUAGUGGCGCACGGGUGCGUAACGCGUGGGAACCUGCCCUUAGGUUCGGAAUAACUCCCCGAAAGGGGUGCUAAUACCGGAUAAUGUCUUCGGACCAAAGAUUUAUCGCCUUUGGAUGGGCCCGCGUUGGAUUAGCUAGUUGGUAGGGUAAAAGCCUACCAAGGCGACGAUCCAUAGCUGGUCUGAGAGGAAGAUCAGCCACACUGGGACUGAGACACGGCCCAGACUCCUACGGGAGGCAGCAGUGGGGAAUAUUGGACAAUGGGCGAAGGCCUGAUCCAGCAAUGCCGCGUGAGUGAUGAAGGCCUUAGGGUUGUAAAGCUCUUUUACCCGGGAUGAUAAUGACAGUACCGGGAGAAUAAGCUCCGGCUAACUCCGUG
Molecule: ribosomal RNA, 433 nt
Filed under: uncultured bacterium
Lineage: Bacteria
Description: partial 16S ribosomal RNA
Rfam family: Bacterial small subunit ribosomal RNA
Source: RNAcentral